RNAcentral lists this small nucleolar RNA (81 nucleotides) under Tupaia belangeri (northern tree shrew). Its description in RNAcentral is "Small nucleolar RNA SNORA31 (ENSTBEG00000020869.1)". Lineage: Eukaryota; Metazoa; Chordata; Mammalia; Scandentia; Tupaiidae. The record is from RNAcentral.
CUGCAUUUAUGGAUAGACCUUGAAUCAUCUGUUGUUGCUCUUACAGUGUGCAACAGGAUGUGAAAGAAAAAAAAAAAAUCU